AUGAAGACGAAAGCAACUUUCUUCCAAAGAGUGAAAUUCCUAGUUGGUAAUGAUAAUACUACUAGAUUUUGGGAGGAUACAUGGCUUGAGGAGACGCUUUUGGCUUUGCAAUAUCCAUCCUUAUAUAAUAUUGUGCAACACAAUGAGAAUUAUGUUGCCACAGUAUUAAACGCGAUACCCCUUAAUAUCCAAUUUAGGAGAUCCCUAGUAGGGGAACAUUGGAAUGCUUGGUUGCAUCUGGUUCGUAGGUUGAUAGAAGUUCACCUAUCUGAUCAGGCGGAUACAAUUCACUGGAAGUUAACCACGAAUGGAAUCUUCUCAGUGAAAUCUAUGUAUUCGGACCUAAUUGAUUCCGGGCCAUUGUCGAGGUCGUUGCACAUUUAG
Molecule: ribosomal RNA, 384 nt
Filed under: Triticum aestivum (bread wheat)
Lineage: Eukaryota; Viridiplantae; Streptophyta; Magnoliopsida; Poales; Poaceae
Description: partial small subunit ribosomal RNA
Source: RNAcentral